This 78-nucleotide transfer RNA is filed under the name Candidatus Zixiibacteriota bacterium. Its description in RNAcentral is "tRNA-Pro". It matches the Rfam family "tRNA". Rfam says of the family: Transfer RNA (tRNA) molecules are approximately 80 nucleotides in length. Their secondary structure includes four short double-helical elements and three loops (D, anti-codon, and T loops). Lineage: Bacteria; Pseudomonadati; Candidatus Zixiibacteriota. The record is from RNAcentral.
CGGGGAGUAGCGCAGCUUGGUUAGCGCGCUUGACUGGGGGUCAAGAGGUCGUCAGUUCAAAUCUGAUCUCCCCGACCA